AGAUUGAACGCUGGCGGCAUGCCUAACACAUGCAAGUCGAGCGGCAGCGCGGGGGCGACCCUGGCGGCGAGCGGCGGACGGGUGAGUAAGGCAUCGGAAUCUGCCCUGAUGUGGGGGAUAACGUAGGGAAACUUACGCUAAUACCGCAUAUGCCCUACGGGUAAAGCGGGGGAGUCGUAAGACCUCGCGCUGGUGGAUGAGCCUACGUCCGAUUAGUUAGUUGGUGGGGUAAAGGCCUACCAAGGCUACGAUCGGUAGCUGGUCUGAGAGGACGACCAGCCACACUGGGACUGAGACACGGCCCAGACUCCUACGGGAGGCAGC
Molecule: ribosomal RNA, 324 nt
Filed under: uncultured prokaryote
Description: bacterial SSU rRNA
Rfam family: Bacterial small subunit ribosomal RNA
Source: RNAcentral